Molecule: ribosomal RNA, 268 nt
Filed under: uncultured bacterium
Lineage: Bacteria
Description: partial 16S ribosomal RNA
Rfam family: Bacterial small subunit ribosomal RNA
Source: RNAcentral
UACGGAGGGUGCAAGCGUUAUCCGGAUUUACUGGGUUUAAAGGGUGUGUAGGCGGGCUUUUAAGUCAGUGGUGAAAUCUCCGGGCUCAACCUGGAAACUGCCAUUGAUACUAUUAGUCUUGAAUUUUGUUGAGGUAGGCGGAAUAAGUCAUGUAGCGGUGAAAUGCAUAGAUAUGACUUAGAACACCAAUUGCGAAGGCAGCUUGCUAAACAAAUAUUGACGCUGAGGCACGAAAGCGUGGGGAUCAAACAGGAUUAGAUACUUGUAG